Long non-coding RNA from Fukomys damarensis (Damara mole-rat), 788 nucleotides. RefSeq lists it as uncharacterized. The record is from RefSeq and is a predicted model, not a curated record. NCBI's taxonomy places the organism in Eukaryota, Metazoa, Chordata, Mammalia, Rodentia, Bathyergidae. The transcript has 6 exons.
CCUGGGUAUACCUGCAAGUGGAGCAUAGGGCCAUGGAGGAUGGGGGCUGCCUCUGAGCCUUAGGGUCCAGACAAAUAUGGUUUCUUCAAAGAAGGAGGGCAGAACAAAAGUGGAGCAUGGUACGGCGGUGGUAGAGAUGACCAGGCAUUGAGCAGGAUGACCUUUGUCUCCCUUCUUCCAGCAGAGAUGGGAAGUGGAAGCUGGAGAGUCCCACAUCCCCAGAUAGGAUAAGGCUCCCAAAGAGAGGCUCAUGGAACGUAAUCUCAACACAGCCCUCAACACCUUAGUCAGCCUGCUCUAACCUCCCAACUUAUCAAGCUGGCAGCUUCGCAAUCAUGAGAUGAAACAGAAUAAGGUGGGAAUUCAGUCUGCAUUUCUCUACUUCCUGGGUUAUCACUUUCCAAAGCUGAUUCCUUUUUGUGGUCUGAUUCGAUAUAUGACUCACCUUCCAAAAACUUGCAUGAAGACGUGAAUAUUUCCCCUGAAGAUCUUAGCUGAGGACCUGUUCUGAUUGCAGUUAGCUGUGGGCACCGUGUCCUUAGCCAGAAGAGCUGCAAGCCUGGGUCUUCAGGGGUGCAAACUUGAGAACAUCUCUCUACAAGGAAGAAAAUUCAAGGGAAAAUGGAGAACAAGGCUCAGGUGGUGAGGGUAGACAGAGCCACCAUGGCCUGUUCCCCGGUCUCCUUUAGCCUUGGGCCAGCUGCUUUGCAGGUCAAGCCAUCUUUCUAAACUCCACCUUUACUUGUCGCUCUCCCCUGAUUUGGCUUGCAGAGACUAUGAAUAAACUG